Molecule: long non-coding RNA, 522 nt
Organism: Tripterygium wilfordii
Lineage: Eukaryota; Viridiplantae; Streptophyta; Magnoliopsida; Celastrales; Celastraceae
Exons: 2
Source: RefSeq, a predicted model, not a curated record
CCGUAAAGUAGGUUUGUGUGCUUUGAAGCGAAAACAAACCAAAGAGAGAUGGGAAUAGUCAGCAAAGCAGGGGAUUUGGCAUUCAAGGCUUUCUCGGCGGGGCUUGGCGUCGCCACCGUUUAUCUGACUGCCACCUUCUCUGUCAAUAUCUAUAGAGGUGUUGCUUGGCACAACGCGCAGUCGAAAAUUGACAAGCAAGACUCCAGUCAGGAGGCCGCAUGACCUGGUGUGCAACGAUAAUGGCCUUGAGGUUACAACAUUGGUUUUUUUUCUUACAGAUGGAGAUUUGGUUAUUUGGUGUGGCACUUUGAAUGCUUUGAUUAUUGAAAGCUGAACACACCAUGACUUGGGUUCAUUUCAAAAAAUAGUCUUUUCUUUUUUUGGAUUUCAAAAAAUAUAAUCGUUCCAUAUUAAUGUAACGUUGGAUGAAAAUACUUUGAAUAAGAUCUAUGGAUAUCAACUUUUGUACUUGAUGAGAAUUACCUUCUCAUUAGGAAUGAUAUCCUUUAUUAUUUUGCUUCA